GACGAACGCUGGCGGCGUGCUUAACACAUGCAAGUCGAACGGAAAGGCCCUGCUUUUGUGGGGUGCUCGAGUGGCGAACGGGUGAGUAACACGUGAGUAACCUGCCCUUGACUUUGGGAUAACUUCAGGAAACUGGGGCUAAUACCGGAUAGGAGCUCCUGCUGCAUGGUGGGGGUUGGAAAGUUUCGGCGGUUGGGGAUGGACUCGCGGCUUAUCAGCUUGUUGGUGGGGUAGUGGCUUACCAAGGCUUUGACGGGUAGCCGGCCUGGGAGGAUGACCGGCCACAUUGGGACUGAGAUACGGCCCAGACUACUACGGGAGGCAGCAGUGGGGAAUAUUGCCCAAUAGGCGGAGGCCUGAUGCAGCAACGCCGCGUGCGGGAUGACGGCCUUCGGGUUGUAAACCGAUUUCGCCUGUGACGAAGCGUGAGUGACGGUAAUGGGUAAAGAAGCACCGGCUAACUACGUG
RNAcentral lists this ribosomal RNA (468 nucleotides) under uncultured bacterium. RNAcentral's name for it is "partial 16S ribosomal RNA". It matches the Rfam family "Bacterial small subunit ribosomal RNA", at positions 28 to 507 of the family's 1533-position model. The record is from RNAcentral.